This 614-nucleotide ribosomal RNA is filed under the name Penicillium verrucosum. RNAcentral's name for it is "eukaryotic LSU rRNA". It matches the Rfam family "Eukaryotic large subunit ribosomal RNA", at positions 38 to 667 of the family's 3401-position model. The record is from RNAcentral. Lineage: Eukaryota; Fungi; Ascomycota; Eurotiomycetes; Eurotiales; Aspergillaceae.
GCAUAUCAAUAAGCGGAGGAAAAGAAACCAACAGGGAUUGCCCCAGUAACGGCGAGUGAAGCGGCAAGAGCUCAAAUUUGAAAGCUGGCUCCUUCGGGGUCCGCAUUGUAAUUUGCAGAGGAUGCUUCGGGAGCGGUCCCCAUCUAAGUGCCCUGGAACGGGACGUCAUAGAGGGUGAGAAUCCCGUAUGGGAUGGGGUGUCCGCGCCCGUGUGAAGCUCCUUCGACGAGUCGAGUUGUUUGGGAAUGCAGCUCUAAAUGGGUGGUAAAUUUCAUCUAAAGCUAAAUAUUGGCCGGAGACCGAUAGCGCACAAGUAGAGUGAUCGAAAGAUGAAAAGCACUUUGAAAAGAGAGUUAAAAAGCACGUGAAAUUGUUGAAAGGGAAGCGCUUGCGACCAGACUCGCUCGCGGGGUUCAGCCGGCAUUCGUGCCGGUGUACUUCCCCGCGGGCGGGCCAGCGUCGGUUUGGGCGGUCGGUCAAAGGCCCUCGGAAGGUAACGCCCCCAGGGGCGUCUUAUAGCCGAGGGUGCAAUGCGACCUGCCUAGACCGAGGAACGCGCUUCGGCUCGGACGCUGGCAUAAUGGUCGUAAACGACCCGUCUUGAAACACGGACC